CAAGAUGAAAAGCAACUGCAAUUGCAAAAAGCUAUUUACACACAUUUGGUCAUCAAUGCAGUUGAAUCUCAUAACAAUCCGUUCCAAGUGUAACGAGUUAGCUUAACAUUUCUAAGGAAGAAAUCACACUUAGCAUUUUGUAAAUUUCAUAUCAGUCAAGAUUUCAUGGGUGUUGCCCGUAUAAAGAAACAACCGAAAAUAACGCAAAGGCCGAACAUAUCGCUGUUAAAAGUACCGCGAAGCUAACGUGCUCUUGUGUAUCGAUGAGGAAUUUCAUGAAGUCGGAGAUCAAUCAAUUUCGAUUCCUCUCACUCCAAUGACGGACGGACAAUAUAUUAUGACAUCUUCAACUGAAGGUGGACGUACAGCUCCUACGUCAUCGACUAAGUCGGGGCCGAAACGUCAGAAUAGCCUUCAUGCAAGUCUACCAACAAACCAGCAAUGAAACAAUCACAAGGAUGGCGGCAGAGAAGCGGGCAUUGUUAGCUUGACCUGUUUAGACAGUAUACUUCCCAGUAAACCUAUUUCAACUAAGCUAAUGUUGCGUUAUUAGUAGGUGUUUUCCACGUGAAGUAAACAAGAUGCGGUUUCUCUGCGCUUAUUUGUUUUGGGAAAGGAUUCAUGCACAACCCAUCUCGCAACUUGUACAAAUGUUAGAGAAGGUCGUGAGUGAAAUCUGCAGCAACAAGAAUAGCGUUGGAACGCAUCCGGGCCCCUCGUCAAACGAAGGAUGUCUGGUGCUAUAAUCCGUGUCUGGCUGGUCAAGGACAAAACCUUUUGAUUGCAUGUCGGUUUACAGAUAUUCUUCUAUAAAAUUCGGAAUCUAAUGGAUGCUGGAAAUUCAUGGGAUUUAACGCUUGGUGUGGCAGACAAUCUUUUCAUUUAGGGACAUCAACUCGACGAACAGAAAUAGGAACGACGGAUAGAUCGGGAAAGGUGUGAUCUAUCCAAUGACAUUAAAUUAAACGUAGACUUCCGUGACCCUUUCGAUGACGCUUCUAAAUCAAUUGGACAUCCGCAACAUCAAAUAAUUGAAUAGAUUUAGGAACAUCGGUAACUGAAAUAUUUAACAAUUUUCAGACUAUGCAAGUCUGAAGGGGGUGAAGGGAUUUCCCCGAAUUAUGUUUGGCCAAUGGCGAGCAACUAUUGCCACGAAAAAUGGCAGUAGGAUGCGGAGCAGGGGAAUUUGCCUUGAAUAUCGCAUUUUGAAUCGGAGCACAGGUGGCUCUGAAAUGCGUAGCCAAUCGUUGAAAAUGAGUUCCCAAUUAGAUGUUGGUCUUUCAACGGACAAUUGCGUCGUUUGUUGGCGAAUUAGAAGAAACAGAUGUGGUGGCGAGCUGCUGAUGAUCUUGCGUUUCCUUUCGUUUGACUUCUGGGCAUGUUGCGAGUGUUUUUGUGUGCGGCUCAAGCCCCAAGGGUAGGGCACGAACGAGGGAGAAAAAUGUGAUGAGAAACAGAUUGUAGUUCCAUCCGUCUGGCAGCUGAGUAGAGACGGCGCAGGCCAGCACUAGCACGAUGGCCACCAGUACCUGUUUAAAUGACGUAAUAGAACCUUCCUUUUAUUCCAUUAUUUGCGAAUUGUUGCGUCGGUAAUGUAGUACUUGACAUGGGAAAAAAAAGUGACGAAUAGUGGGCCAACUUACCAAAACCUUCAUUCUUCUUUGUGUUGUGUGUGUGUCAAUGUGCUGUUGGCCCAGUGUUAUCGAAUUGAAUUCUUCUUGUUAACUAACGAAAGUCCAGGAAAAGCAGUCGGUCUUUAUAUACAUGUGCCUUGCUUUGUUGUGUUGCUCAUCCUUGGGAACGUGCAAUGUUUACCGUUACAUGACCAGAGCUCUCCUUUGUGUGUGUGUGUGUCUGUCCUAUUGCAGCGAAAGUGGAGUUGCCAUCGGCCAUUUGCGAAUGCAGAAUUUGCUUCUCUUUUUUGCGCAUCUCGAGCUCUGGUGGUACCGCAGCUGUGGAUACCACAUUGACGUUAUUUGGCGUUCCGGUUCGACCUGGAGAACGGGACUUCAGCCCUUUCGCUAAUUGCAUCGAGCGUAAUCCGUCUAGCCGUUUUUUAUGGAUUUCGCAUUGAGGAUAACAGCCACGACCUCUUUUCCUCUUCUUGACGGGCACACGAAAAAUGAAUUUUUUCCCCUUCGCCUUCCGCGGCGUCCACUAGACGACCCCGAAAACCUUCCAUUCAUGUUUUUCAAUGUCAAGCCGAACCUUGCACCGGCAAUUGCCCAUCAAGCCCUGCGUGUUUCGUGAAUUCAAGCCAGG
Molecule: long non-coding RNA, 2262 nt
Organism: Daphnia carinata
Lineage: Eukaryota; Metazoa; Arthropoda; Branchiopoda; Diplostraca; Daphniidae
Exons: 10
Source: RefSeq, a predicted model, not a curated record